GCCGGGAUAGCUCAGUUGGUAGAGCGCUAGAUUUGUAAUCUUGAGGUCACGGGUUCGACCCCCGUUCCCGGCUCCA
Molecule: transfer RNA, 76 nt
Filed under: Candidatus Sulfopaludibacter sp. SbA3
Lineage: Bacteria; Pseudomonadati; Acidobacteriota; Terriglobia; Bryobacterales; Solibacteraceae
Also listed under: 1 other name
Description: tRNA-Thr
Rfam family: tRNA
About the family: Transfer RNA (tRNA) molecules are approximately 80 nucleotides in length. Their secondary structure includes four short double-helical elements and three loops (D, anti-codon, and T loops). Further hydrogen bonds mediate the characteristic L-shaped molecular structure. tRNAs have two regions of fundamental functional importance: the anti-codon, which is responsible for specific mRNA codon recognition, and the 3' end, to which the tRNAs corresponding amino acid is attached (by aminoacyl-tRNA synthetases). tRNAs cope with the degeneracy of the genetic code in two manners: having more than one tRNA (with a specific anti-codon) for a particular amino acid; and 'wobble' base-pairing, i.e. permitting non-standard base-pairing at the 3rd anti-codon position.
Source: RNAcentral